CUGCUCUAACACUGCACUGCACUCGUAACACAGUCGGUCUUAAUGCAGAAAACAAAGGCGAGUAUUUAACCAGUUCCAUCUGCUUGUUCACUUCCUCGCGAGUAUAUUAGGUCGUCAAAAAGACAAGUGUAUCUGGCUACUGUGGAUCUAGAGGGCCUCACCCCUUUCUCCUGUUCUCCUCUCCUCUUCACUGCAUCCCUCCAUCCCUCGUUCUUCAGCCUCUCCAUCAUUCCUCCUCCAUCUCACUUGAUUGAUUGCAUCAAUCUGCUGCUCAUCCCUCUCUCCUCCAGAAGGAGUUUCUCAUCCUUUCUCACCGUCACUCGUUUUAUUUUCCCUGCUUGUAGAGCUGUUAACCCCUUAAAAGGACCUAAGGUUGUUACUAAAUAAUUACAUUUUUAAACAGUAUAAAUAUACUAUACUAACAAUAAUAACAACAUCAAU
This is a long non-coding RNA of Colossoma macropomum (tambaqui), 441 nucleotides long. RefSeq lists it as uncharacterized. The transcript has 3 exons. Lineage: Eukaryota; Metazoa; Chordata; Actinopteri; Characiformes; Serrasalmidae. The record is from RefSeq and is a predicted model, not a curated record.